RNAcentral lists this unclassified non-coding RNA (540 nucleotides) under Hevea brasiliensis (rubber tree). Lineage: Eukaryota; Viridiplantae; Streptophyta; Magnoliopsida; Malpighiales; Euphorbiaceae. The record is from RNAcentral.
GGGCGAAUGACCUUCCAUAUAACAAAGCGCAACAUGCCACCAAUUGUGUGUAUACAUAAAAGAUGACAAAGAACUCCAGGUUCUUGAGCACUCCUCCAUAAAUUGUACUGCUUCUUUAAAACGACACUCAUACUGAUAAACAUGACAGAGAGCAUGGUGUGUCCAGGCAUCUUCACUAUCAAUCUCAAAGCCUUUCUUUGCAGCUUCUUUUGCCUCCGCAUAUCGACCAAGCUCCAAUAGGGCAAAUGCGAGCAUGCCAUAAAUGUAUCUUCCAUGUUUAUUUACUGGUAGGACCUGUUCAACAAGUUUCAGAGACAAAUCAGGGCGACCCAUGUAGAAAGAGAGCACUUGAGCGCGCUUUACCGUGACCAGAUCUCUUGGGAAAUCCUUAAGCAGCUUUAAGUGUAGUUCAACAGCCACAUCAUCAUCUCUAUUAGGUAAAAUCAAAUAACUUACUACCUCAAAAACCACUUUCUCAUACAAGCUAGCUUGUUCUAGACAAGACUUGGCAGCUUCAAGAAGUGGCAUAGCACGCGAAGA